This is a ribosomal RNA of Anolis carolinensis (green anole), 120 nucleotides long. The record is from Rfam. NCBI's taxonomy places the organism in Eukaryota, Metazoa, Chordata, Lepidosauria, Squamata, Anolidae.
GUCCCCAGCCAAAGUACCCCUAAAGGCAUCAGACCCUGGCUGAACUCGGGAGCUAAGCAGGGUCAGCCCUGGUUGGCAUUUGGAUGGGAGACCGCCAAAGAAGACCAGGUGCUGGAAGAA